This is a long non-coding RNA of Leopardus geoffroyi (Geoffroy's cat), 3629 nucleotides long. RefSeq lists it as uncharacterized. Lineage: Eukaryota; Metazoa; Chordata; Mammalia; Carnivora; Felidae. The transcript has 7 exons. The record is from RefSeq and is a predicted model, not a curated record.
CCCACUGAACCAGCCAGGAGCCCAUUUCUUCACUUCUUAAGGGAGCUGGAUAGAUACACUUAUGGCACCUUGGUUUCUCUUUACAACCAUAUUUUCUUUAUGGCUGAUACUUUUGUGUAAUUUUGUAUAAGUUGGGAGAUUUCUUACUAAUUUGACCCUGCUUGUCUAGUCUUUUUCCUUUCAGUAUAUAGUACUUCUUGUUAUAUUUUCAAAAGAAUACUUUAUAAAGAAAAAAUAUUCAGCAAAUAAAGGAAAUGAAAACCCCAAUGGAUGUUGUGUAAGAAUAGGAUUGUAUCAUUACCAAUGAAAUUUUCUUUCCUAUAAACAAAAUGAGGAACCAGACUAAGAAGUAUUAAGUAUGCUAAAAUAUGCUGAGGUCUUGGAAAUUGUAACUGUAAGAACAUGUAUCACUGCACUGUGCUUAAGGGGUAUAGCUUUCUCAUUCUCUACAUUCACUGGAAUUUUGAGAAGUAGUGCCAAGUUUAUGUUGUGAGCUUUGUGCACUCUGAACUCAGUGGCAAUGCAAGAGGCUCCUGGUUUGGUGGCCACAUCUCAGGUUCGAAGAGGGAGGCAGUACAGGGGCAGAGUGGGCUGCAUGGUGAGGCAGUGGUGCAUAUGGGCCUCAAGGGCUGGGCAGUGGUUUGGAAAUUGCAGUAGUGGAUGUGGUGAGGUGCUGCCCAGAUGCCCCUUCAGGAGGAGACAGACACACAUCACCCAGCUGCAAGGAGAGCUGGCUGCUGAUGGAUCUCAGCUGAAUCCCUCUCAGAACUGCCUUUUGCCAAAGGUUAUACCUCCUUCCUGGGAGGAGGCCCACCUCUGGUGCCUGGUCAAAGGGGGGGUGGAGGGCACAGCACCUUGACAUAAUUUCUGACAUCCUGAAGGGCCACCCCAGCUCCAGAGCUUCAGAUGGGAUCCACUGAGGCCUGAGUUGUGGACGCAUCAUGGUUCACCUUCCCCCUUUGCCCAGUCCUGCACCCCUCGCUCCCUCAAGGGGCUUCCUGAGAGCUCCCCAGUAAGCCCUGCAUGCAGAUCUCAGCUUCUCACUGUCGGUUUCCAGGAUGCCUGAUGUAAGAUAGUAACAGGCUUUCCAGGCAGAGGGUGGCUUUGGGAAAUAGUCGAGAUGUCCAGUUGGCUGGGGUGUUGUGUUGAAUGUAGGGGCAAGUGAGAUAGAAAUGUGGCAAAGGGGCAGGUCUGGGGGUGGUGAGGAUCUGCAGUUUUGAGCACAGGGCAGCCUUAUGGCCAAUUUAGGUCAAAUUACCAAAAAAUUUUGUGGUAUAUCUCAGGGAACAUAUUAUAAUGAGAAAAGUAACUGAAAGAAGUUGGUUUAUAAUGUACUGUCAUUUUGAGAUGCAAAUCCCAUCAUUAGUGAACCAUAGUUUUUAAAAAAUUUUUUCAGAAAACAGGGAUAGAUCUGAGAGGAUUGUCUACAUAAGCAAUCUCCACACAUGCAUUUACAAAAUAGCUGGUAAGGGUUAAAGAGAUUGCCUCUUCACUUUCGAAUACUUGUUCCUAGGUGAACAGAGAGUAUGUCCUACUAGGUAUUAGAGAUUGUGUAUGUUCUCUCUGAACCUACAACAACCCUGCAAGGCAGUAUUAAUGUACCAGUUUUAGGGAUAGGGAAACUGAGGCUUGGAUGGAAUAAGGGACUUGCCUGGUGAGUAAGGGGUAAAGAUGGGAUUCAAUCCCAGAUUUCUUUAACUUAGAAGCUUCUGCUGUCCAAAUCAGAUGAGCAGGUCUCAUGGAGCCCAUGACCUGGGCCUCGUGCUCCAGGGCUCUGACUCACCAGGCCUAAGUGGUGACCAAGACAUGUGCUUAUUAACCCUUGUAAGUCAUCUGUUCAAGUAACCAAAGUGGCGCUUCAGUAACUUAGCCGUUGAUUUCAACAACGGCUCCUUCUUCAGUCACAAUAAUAAUCAUAAAUAGCACUUCUAUUUUUAUUAUUUGCAAAGCCCUUUCUAUGCAUCGUGUUGUCCGAGCUUCACAACAGGGCUCUGUGGUAUCCAGGAGCCUGCACUGUGUGGACAGUCUCAGUGGACAACCUUACCCUCACUUUGGAGGGCAGUUGGUCAGUGAGGUGGCUCUGUCCCUGCUGAGUCACUCUAAGGUCACUGUGUCCCUCUACAAAAGUCUACAGCUUUCAUCAAUCACCUUUUCCUUAUAGCAGCCCUCUGGUUCCAAUCCAGUGCCCACCCUUCUCCACCCAGAUGUGUGCCCUGGAAGGCUGACCUGUGGACUGAUCACUGGGCUUCCAGUUGAAAUUGGCCAGUUGGACGCACCAGCAGAUCUGGCAAUCAGAUAAGAGUGAAAUUGGGGUAUUUAUUCUGCUCCCUUCCUGUGAGGACAAUGUGGACUGUCUGGAUCCUAAUACUGCUUCCAGGAUCUAUGUAGAAAGAAGUACAUUGCUGUGUGUUUGUAGCUCUGCCCAUCAUUUGAGGGUGAUAAAACCAAGAACUAGUGAUUUUAAGGAACUUGCCAAAUAUUGGAAUCAGUAAGAGGUAAACCUGGGGUCUGAACUCAGAAAGCAUAGUUCCAGAACCUACUUUCCUAACUGCUACAAGGAAGGAAUUGCCAACAUUAAAAAAAAAAAAAAAAAAAAAAGUCAAGCGAUUUCACGGAAUCAUGGGAUUCAUGCCCUCUCUUGAACAGUUGUAACAUAUGAAAUGAAAAGGAAGACUGGACCAAGUAUUAAGUCACAAUUUUCGCUUCAAAGUAGCUGCCAGUGGCUACCAAUCCAAGGCCAGGGCUUCAAAAGAAAUGAGUCCUUGCCUCCUGGGCUCCCAUCUCUGAGACCUCCAGCUGAGACGUUUCUGACCGGAGCAUGGUCCUGGCAAGGUGUUCUUCAUGCCAGCCAGACCUGUCCACAGCCACUAGAUCCUGGCCUACACUCCUGCUGAACCUGGCUUUCCCCCUGCUGCAGCUCACAUACCCCCUUAUCAUGGACUCCUCCUCCCCAACCCUAUCUCCUCUCCCUAGAGACACUCUCACGUUCCACUUCCUCCACUCAGCCUUCCUUUAAUUCUCCUAACUGAAGAACCUCUUCUUUUUACUUUCUGAAAUGACCAUGUAAGUCACAUGUAGAUGAUGAUGAUAACUAUAGGAGCAAUAUAGCUAAGCUAACACCUGACGGUGGUCUAUUCUGCUCCCCAGCACUGUAUACACUCUUGACCCACAUUAUCUCAUUUAACUCUCAUGGAGCUCCUAUGAAAUAUGAACUUUUAUUUGUAUUGCUGAGUAAGCCGCCUUAGUAAGGUUACAUAAAUUGUUCAAAAUCUCAUAGCUCAUUUUAUGUCUUAUGUAAAUUAUUUGUAUUCUCUUUUAUUUAUCCUCCAAAUGGAUAAUUGAGAUCAGGGAGCAUUCUUUGUUCAGCUGUGACCCCUAUUCUAAGCCUAUGGAGUAUCUUGUGCAUGGUGGGCAGUAAAUCACCAAUUUGCUGAAGAGUCUCAGAAUUCACAACUUUUGCCACCAAAUUGGUCAUGUUUUUUGGUGCUGAAUUUUAUUUUAUUUAAAUUUUUUUUUUGUUAUCUAUCAAGCAUACACCUGUGUUCUAUGUAAUGUAAGUCGAGAUGGGGAGCAAAAAAGUGUUUCUAAGAAGUUUGGAAUAAAUUGAUUCCUGUUUUCCUUCUGUUAUA